Molecule: ribosomal RNA, 468 nt
Filed under: uncultured bacterium
Lineage: Bacteria
Description: partial 16S ribosomal RNA
Rfam family: Bacterial small subunit ribosomal RNA
Source: RNAcentral
GACGAACGCUGGCGGCGUGCUUAACACAUGCAAGUCGAACGGAAAGGCCCUGCUUUUGUGGGGUGCUCGAGUGGCGAACGGGUGAGUAACACGUGAGUAACCUGCCCUUGACUUUGGGAUAACUUCAGGAAACUGGGGCUAAUACCGGAUAGGAGCUCCUGCUGCAUGGUGGGGGUUGGAAAGUUUCGGCGGUUGGGGAUGGACUCGCGGCUUAUCAGCUUGUUGGUGGGGUAGUGGCUUACCAAGGCUUUGACGGGUAGCCGGCCUGGGAGGGUGACCGGCCACAUUGGGACUGCGAUACGGCCCAGACUCCUACGGGAGGCAGCAGUGGGGAAUAUUGCACAAUGGGCGGAAGCCUGAUGCAGCAACGCCGCGUGCGGGAUGACGUCCUUCGGGUUGUAAACCGCUUUCGCCUGUGACGAAGCGUGAGUGACGGUAAUGGGUAAAGAAGCACCGGCUAACUACGUG